AGUUCUUUGGGAGCACCCUGGGAAACAGUGUGGCUAUGACUUGGAGCUGCUCACCAGUUCCAGUCAUUCUGUGGUUGAGAGCUGCUCCCUAUGGAUGUUAAUUCUUCUCUAUUUUAGAUUUUCCACAGGUGUGGGCCCCAUUAGCUCUGGCCACCUGAGAAAGCCCUCAGGCAAAGAGUCGCAGGUGAAAGCCAGCAGUUAGAGGUUCACAGAAAUGGCAACUUUCUCUAUGGUGGGUACCGUAGAAGACUAGAAGUUUCUAUUAUAACACAUUCAUCAUUUUGAAAAAUGAAGGUGGCUGGCUGCAGUGGCUCACGCCUGUAAUCCCAGCACUUUGGGAGGCCGAGGCGGGUGGAUCACCUGAGGUCAGGAGUUCGAGACCAGCCUGGACAACAUGGUGAAACCCUGUCUCUACUAAAAAUACAAAAUUAGCUGGGUGUGGUGGCGGGUGCCUGUAAUCCCAGCUACUUGGGAGGCUGAGGCAGGAGAAUAGCUUGCACCCAGGAGGCGAAGGUUGCAGUGAGUCGAGAUCAUGCCACGGCACUCUAGCCUGGACAACAGAACGAGACUCCGUCUCAAAAAAAAAAAAAAAAAGUGUGAAGCUAUCUGAAGAUUGACUCAAUUGACCUGAUGCAAUGAGGAAGUCCACUAGAGGAUUUAAGCAAUAGGCCAAGUUUUCAAUCAAAUCUUAAAAUAAUUAAGUGACCUUAAAAUUCUUGACUAAAUUUCUGAGUGAUCACUUGUGUAUUCUCAUCAAAUGAGGUAGUUAAGAGACCUGAGGAAGAGAAUACUUUUGGAUCUGAGUUUCUGUCUGUUAAGUAAAAAUGGAUUUGUUGUAUAAUCUGAGUAAGCUGUUUACCAUCUCAAGAGUCUCCAUUAAGAAAAAAAAUGUUAGAUAGUGGACAACAAUGCUCUCUUUAUGAGGAUUACAUGGUGUAAAGUGACUGUCAUGUGUCAAAGCUUCAUAAAUUGGGGAAAUAGAUAAAUAACUGUGGAUAGUUUUGCCUUUUUGUAAACAGAUACUGAUAAAAAGACCUAGAAUAAAGGCUCUCUCUUUUAAUAAUUUCUGAA
RNAcentral lists this long non-coding RNA (1071 nucleotides) under Homo sapiens (human). RNAcentral describes it as "long intergenic non-protein coding RNA 534". Lineage: Eukaryota; Metazoa; Chordata; Mammalia; Primates; Hominidae. The record is from RNAcentral.